ACGCUCGACACCUACGGGGGGCACAGUGGGGAAUAUUGCACAAUGGGGGAAACCCUGAUGCAGCAACGCCGCGUGAAGGAAGACGGUUUUCGGAUUGUAAACUUCUGUUCUUAGUGAAGAUAGUGACGGUAGCUAAGGAGCAAGCCACGGCUAACUACGUGCUAGCAGCCGCGGUAAUCUGAGCGGGCUGGCAAGGC
RNAcentral lists this ribosomal RNA (197 nucleotides) under uncultured bacterium. RNAcentral describes it as "partial 16S ribosomal RNA". It matches the Rfam family "Bacterial small subunit ribosomal RNA", at positions 328 to 539 of the family's 1533-position model. The record is from RNAcentral.